This 9231-nucleotide long non-coding RNA is filed under the name Musa acuminata (dwarf banana). RNAcentral describes it as "long non-coding RNA (MACU_LNC002985)". Lineage: Eukaryota; Viridiplantae; Streptophyta; Magnoliopsida; Zingiberales; Musaceae. The record is from RNAcentral.
GAGGGAAUAAGGAUUUAAUUGGACUGUGUCACAUUUAUUAGCAUCACAUGUUUUAGAUCACUUGUAGAACAACAUGAACAACAAGAUACAGGCUGCGGAUCGAAAGGCUGAAGUGACUGCAUCAACUGUUCCUUCAAGGCAGGUGGAGGGAGGAUGGUUGCCGUCAUGCUAAUUAUGGACAAAGUUCAUCGUCUCUUCGGUGAAGGCCGGUAGAUGUUCCUUUUGAACACAUCGUGUCAGCAACCUCACGCCCUGCUUAGGCUUGGACGGCUGCAGGUAGAUGCAGGAAGCGACGAAGUUGUGGUCGUCGUUCAACGGAGCGACAUGAGUCGGCUCUCCCCACCCAUAGUUCACAUCUGAGAACCCCACCCGGCUCCAAUCCGACACCACCAGCGUCCCGUACUCCAGCGGCACCUUGUCCGGGUCGGCCUCUGCGUCCCCCAUCAUCCAGUCCAAGAACUUGGUGGACAUCCUCUCCUUGGCGUCCCGGAUCAGCUCGAUCACCUCCACCGGCGAGGAACCAGCGAUGGUCCCAGCGGUCGCCUUGAUUCCCAUGGGGUACACGCAGUUGCCAUAGAAGCCUUCCUGCGGCAGCAGCUGGCGCAGCAGGUGGCGGGCGUUGGCGGUGAAGCUGAGGUACACGUCGGCGUGGGAAUCCAAGCUUAUCGCCCUCGUCCGGCACUGCCAGAUCAUAGCCGUGACCACGUCGAAGGUGGAGCACUCCUGGCCCGCCUCCCUGCAGAACUGGUUUUUAACCGCGUCGAUGUGGUCGGAGGGGAUGUCGAACACGGAGGACUCGAAGUAGACGACAGCGGGGGCGGGUGCGUGUCGUUGCGAUAGCUUUGGCGGACGGGGGAUGGCUUCCCUGCACCAGACAGGCUCAACGAGGGGACGAGCGUGGCCUCUUGCGAUCUCGGCGACUGCUUUCAAGAACUGGGCUGCCCCGAGGCCAUCGAAUACUGUGUGAUUGAAUCUGAUGUCCAUUGCGAAUCCACCGCAUGUGAACUCCGUCACCUGAAAAAGUAAUACAGCGCAUAACGGUAAAAAAAAGUCUCGCGUGAGCAUUAAAAUUUAGGCAGCAUGCUCUUCAUCAUCUCCUAAACCAGGUCUGUGUGGCUGUAUGCCGCGUGUUCUUGAAUCAGAGAUAAAGUUGGAUGAGACACAAUAAUAAAACUAAUAAUAAGAACAAUAAAGGUGAUGACUGAAAACGGUGGCACGUUCGACUCGUGAAAUCUGCCGCAUGAGCCUAAUGGCUUCUUGUACAAUUAGUCGGCAGUAGCUACACGAUGAGCAGAGCUAGCUCCUGACACCCAGAAAACAUCUUUAGAAAGGAGCCGAUAUGAACGAAAGGCAGGUAGCUCCUAAAAGCAAGCCAACUUGAUUGCAAUACGUGUGUCUGUGUCAAAGCAAGCCAACCGGGGAGCGGCUCCACGAUUCGCCCGGCGACGGGGUAGUAGGCGACUAGAGCGCGGGACAGCGCCGCCCUGAUGGCCUUCGCCGGCUGCACGCCUUGCUCGAACACGAGUAUCAGGUCGAUGAUCAAUCUGACCACCGCGGUGAUAGAAUGAGAGAAUGAAGUAUGAAAUGAAAAGGAUAAAGCAAAAAGGCACACUUAUUCGUAUGUUGAUGCAUUUUCGGUGUAACGAUGAAAUAGUUCUUGACCGUAUGUAGCAGAGGAGUGGCAAGUGAAUGACUCAUGACAAUGGAAUGCCAUUGAUGUUGCUUAGAGAGGGAGUCAUGUACACGUAUGGUUACGGUAAAAGUUAUCUUAAGACUUCGUAAAAGUAUCGUUAAAAGUCUUCUUUUUUUUUUUGACUUGGUAAAAAUCGAUUAUAACCAAGUCUCCGAUUUGCAGCUACAAAUUAGGGAUUGUUUAGUGUUGUUUAGAUUAAUAUCAUGUGUUAGCAGGUAGGUGACGCAUAAUAUUUAUUUCCUUGUAUGUAUGUCAUACAUGUCGUUUUUACACGGUUUAUAAUGAUUCAAGAGGAUGUCACACCUGCUGCAUGGUAAUGACGAAGAUGACUUGCAGGCGGUGGAUAGUAGCCCGCUCUCAUUGUAGUUCUAGGUAAAACUUCAUCAUCUCUUCAUGGAAGGCGGGUAGAUGAUCCUUUUCACAGCAUCGUGUCAUCAACCUCAAGCCCUGCUUCGGCUUGGGCGGCGACAGAUAGAUGCAGGACGCCACGAAGUUACUGUCGUCAUUCAACGGAGUGACAUGGAUCGGCUCUCCCCACCCGUAGUUCACCUCUGAGAACCCCAUAAGUCUCCAAUCCGACACCACCAGCGUCCCGUACCCCGGUGGCACCCGGUAAGGGUCCUCCUCCGCAGUCUCCCCCAUCAUCCAGUCCAAGAACUUGGUGGAUAUCCUCUCUUUGGCGUCUCGUAUCAGCUCGAUCACCGCCACCGGCGAGGAACCUGCGAUGGUUCCAGCUUUCGCCUUGAUUCCCAUGGGGUACACGCAGUUGCCGUAGUAGCCUUCCUGCGGCAGCAACCCCCGCAGCAGGUGGCGGGUGUUGGCGGCGAAGCCGAGGUGAACGUCGACGUGGGCGUCGAAGCAUAUCGCCCGCGUCCGGCACUGCCAGGCCGUGGCCGUGACCACGUCGAAGGUGGAGCACGUCUGGCCCGUCUCCCUCCAGAACUGGUUCUUCACUGCGUCGAUGUGGUCGGAGGGGAUGUCGAACACGGAGUUCUCCAAGUUGAAAGCCUCGAAGGAGGGUAGUGGAAGACCUGGCGAUAGCUUCGGCGGACUGGGGAUGGCGUCCCUGCACCAGACUGGGUGGACGACGGGACGAGCGUGGCCUCUUGCGAUCUCGGCGACUGCUUUCAAGAACUGGGCUGCUCCGAGGCCGUCGAACACUACGUGGCUCAGCCGGGUGCCCACUGCGAACCCGCCGCAUGUGAACUCCGUCACCUGAACGAUCGAGAGAAGACACGGCUGGGUGAUGUACAUCCUGUUGAUUUUGGAAGUAGCGUAAUGCAAACAGUGUCACGUUCGGCUCGUGAAAGCCAACCAUGCAGUGUCUUACAUGAGCCUAUAUAUGAAUCCACCUUCAUUGCCAACACUUACCACAUGAGUCAGUCAGAUUAUAUAUAUUAAGAUAAACUUACGUCUUAAUAAAUUUAACUUUUUAGAUUAAAUUAAUUUCUAAUAAGCGCUAAUCAUAGAAUUGAUUCACGAUAGUUAUCUAGAUAGUUGUUAUGUUCUAAAUAUGAUUUAGAUUAUGACUCAUGAUGGGAGAUAAUACCUACAUUCACUUAAUAGGUAGUUACCAUCAGGUACUAUAAAUAUGAUCAUAGUUCAUAAACAAGAAGAGGUAUGUACUUGGAAAUAUUUUAUAAAUGUUCUAUGACUUACAUCUUGUUUAAUACUAAAUCAAUUUUCUUGAUCGAAAGCAUUCUAUCUUAAUUGCUUUGUAGUAUUCUAUUUUUAUCGUUCUCUAUCUCCAACAACUCUUAAUAGAAUGAGUUUGAUUCGUGACUUAAUAAACUUAAUCUUUUAGAUUAUGUAGACUACAAGACUCAUCAUCCAUUUUAAAUUAUCGAUAAGAUGAUCUCCAGCGUUCUUUCUUUCAGAUUCUUUGUACAGAAUUAGUGUCAUAGUUUCCUUCCGCUUAUAGGAUUCUGUCAUAUUCAAACUAAUUUAAUUAGUACCUCAGAAGAAAUGAUGUUAUCUUAACGCCGAUGCCGAGGAAAGCGUGUAUCAAAACAUACGUACCUGCAUCAUCAUGAUCAAAUCUUCCUCUUUCACUUCAGCGGGAGCGAAUGGGAUGAGCUCCUCCUUGGGCAGCAGGAGGGGGCGCUCCAAGUUGUUGACAUCUUUGAGAUUGCAAUCCACGGAGGCCUCAACGAACCACACGCCUUCGCCGGUGCAGGCGACCUCGGGCUCGCCGGGGCGCGGCUCGAAGAUGCGUCCGGCGACCGGGUAGUAAGGGACGAGAGCCCGGGAGAGCGCCGCCUUGAUGGCCUUCGCCGGCGCCAGGCCUUGCUGGAACACAAGUAUCGUGUCCGCCAGGACUCUGACUGCUGCAAUCCGGUCCAUGGAGGAGAGCGGGAGGCGGCCGGACGGCGUUGGCUCGGCGGCGGCCACGAGCUCCGGGACGAGCUUGUUCACGGAAAAUCUCAUGGUUGCUACAGUUGCUUCAGUGCCUCAGCUUCAGAUGCUCUGCCAUGAGGCGAUGUUGGUGACCAUAUAGUGAGAGAAAGGAAGGGGAUGGUGUCAGGGAUACCGCUAUCUAAUAUUAUCUAAUCUAGUCAAACGAGAACGUUAGAUUCUCUAAAUUAUUUACAAGUCUACAGUGUGAGUGGAAUCUUCUCAUUCUCAUGGGGGUACCAAGUCAAUUCGAAAGGGUUUUCCUAUUGGCGUUGACGAAUAGGUGUCACCAUAAAAUAUUAAAGGCGAAAACUUAGUUUCUUCUUUAAUGUCCAUUUUGGCACUUAGCGCCAUAAACUAAGUUCAUCCCACGGAGCUCCAGCCGGGGCCGCCGAGGUUUGCUUAUUCACGGAUAAGCUCAUGGUUGCUACAGCUAGCUGCUUUGAUUUCUCGGCUUACAGGCUCUGCCAUGAGGUGGUUGUGGUGGUGGUGGUGGUCAUUAUAUAUGUAUUCAUGCAGAAGGGGAUGAAGCGCAUUUGACCCGCUCGGGUAUGGGGCUCUCCACCCGACCCUGCUGCUGAACAUGGGACGCGUGCGUCAGACGCUGGAGAAAGUGCGUCGGCGAGUUAGAAGCAAUGAUUGACGAGGCCGUGCAGACCGGCGAAUCUCACUCGAAUGAGGGUGUUGGACAUCCUGGCCGCACACCAUGUCCCGUUAGUCACCUCACCAGUUUGUACAAACGUCUGUUCUCUCUCUCUAUAUAUAUAUGUAUGUGCUGUCGCUGACGUUGGAUGCGUGCGUAUAAAUCAUACCGAUGGGGAUUUUGGAUAGGUGAGUGAGAACAAGAGAAGAAUUGCGCCGUCUGUACAGACUUGCCAAUCCCACUUUCAUGUAUAAACGAAAUUGAAGUGUAUCUCUUUCUGUCAACGAAAAGAGAGUAUUUUGUGACUUCCGCCGAAUUCAUUAACAUCUAUCUGCAUGAGCAUGGAAUGUUGGAGCAUAUGGGUAGUCGAGUGAAGAACAAGUGAUGAAUGAUGCUGUGCUGAUUUUUCUGACCAUUUGCAGUAUUCAUUGGGUAGUAAAUGUUUAAUGCACCACAUUAGCUUCCCCACAAUAACAUAUUGUCUUUACUUCGUGUGACUACCACCCUAUUGGGUUGAUAGCUAAGGUGGACUUUAUCAACAUAUAGUUUACUUCCUCUUAAUCUAAUCAUAAUUUAUAUUAGGGGAGUGUGGUGGCUAUUAAAAUAAGAUAAAAAAAAAGACAGUAAUAAGGUGGUUUUUAGUAGCCAUGAGAUUCCAAAGAAAAUGAGAAGAACAAGACAGAAAAUGAAACGAAAGAAAUGGAAGAAGACAAGGAUAACACAAAGUGACUAUUCUCAAUCAUCCAGUAGUGCUUUCAUCUCAGGUUAGAUCAGAUCUAUAGUAGAUUCUUACUGUGAUUACUUAGAGAGAAUUAGGAAGGAUUUAGAUAUUGUGCACAGUGACGUGAUCCUUUAUCCUAGUUAUUCUCUUGUGAUUGUUGCUAAGAUUUUGGGCAAGAGAUUGAGAUUUGUAUAUUUAUUAUUAUUAUAAUGGAUUAUCUCUAGUUUGUCCCGUGGUUUUUACCCUUCACAUUGAAUGAGUUUGCUUGCUAAUAUUUAUUCAUAUACAAAAAUUAUUUCUCUUUAUAUUCCAUCAACUGGUAUCAGAGCAGGGUUAUGAUGAUUUAAUUUUUGUAUUUGAAGGAGGCCAGUAGUAUUUCUUAUAUGAUUAGUUUGAAUGAAAAUAAUUAGAUGAUAUGAAAAUCAAGAAUCGAAGAUAUCUUGUAUUGCAAAGAUUUGUAUGGACCUUUGCAGAGAGAUAGUGCAAAACCCACAACUAUAUCAGAUGAUGAGUGGAAGAUGUUAUAUCAAAAGACAGUAGGUUUAUUCGACAGUGGCUUGAUAAUAGUGUCUUUCAUCAUGUUUCUACUGAAAUUUCUACAUAUUCUCUUUCGAAAAAGUUGGAAAGUCUCUAUGAAAGAAAAACAGUUGACAACAAAGCUUUUUUGAUAAUAGUGUUGUCACCAUGAGUCAAGUAACAAGCAUUUUAUUGAAUAAGGAGUUGAUAAGAAAGAAUUCAGUAACAUCUAAAAAUGAUUCACAAGCACUUAUCUCAGAGAACAGAGAAAGGUCAAAGUCUAGAAGCAGUUCACGCGUGGGUAUGAGCAAAUCAAGAUUAAGAAAAGAUAUUGUUUGCUAUAAUUGUGGUGAGAAAGGACAUUACAAGAACCAAUGUAAGCAACAUAAGAAGAGCAAGAAAAAUGGAAAAGAAGUGGAGUCUACAGAGUCAAAAAAUAAUAUCACAAUUAUAGUGUAGGGUGGUGAUUAUUUGAUUUUGUCUUAUUCUGAUAAUAUUUUUUUUGUGUUUAUUAGGAUCUUAAGUGGGUGACUAACACAGGUGUUUCUUAUCAUGCUAUACCAUGGAGGGAGUUUUUUGCUACAUACAAGUAUGAAAAUUUUGGUGUUGUCAAGAUGAGCAACUACGGCAUAGCAAACAUCAUUGGCAUGAGUGAUAUGUAUUUAAAGACCAACAUUGGUUGCAAAUUAGUGCUUAAGGAUAUGAGGCAUGUGAUUUGACUUUGCUAGUCAUAGGUGCCCAGUUAGCUAAUCACGUGAGUGAUGACACGUGUGACUUGACACGGAAUCUUUUUACUUAUUAUAUUUUAACAUUUAUCAUUUUAUAUUGACUGUUGCAUAUAUACAUGUAUAUAUUGUGAUGUCUUUGGAUCUGUGCAAUAUGAAUCAGAUCGUGAUGAGAUCACGAUAAUGAGACUGAUUCACUUUUAAACACAUAUCCUAAAUAAUCCCGGUCAUAGGUUACUCGAGAGAGACAUCGAGAUAAUCGUAUAAACUGGUGUACUGUAUACCCAUCCAUAUGAUGGAUGCAGUUGGUCUCAUAGCUGCUUGUGUGAGGACACUAGGGAUACAGUACAGGUGCUCAUUAGAGAAUGAGUUCACUGAUUGAUCCGCUUAUGGAAUGCUGGAUGGUUAAUGAUACCUUAUUGUCAGAUAACGAUUCCGUAGUCCUAGUGGUGUAUCUUGUCCUUAGAUUUGAGAUACCAAGGAUGUCCUAUAUUAGUGCUCCGCUCUUUGAUACCAGACUUAUAUGUUUGGAUGUCCCAGAUCUAGUACAGUUGGUCAUUGGGAGUAACAGUUGACCUUACGAGAGCUAUUGAGUAUCGAUAGAGGAUCAUCCACUCUUGGCGUCAUGAGAGGAGCAUCCUAUGCGUUCUUGCUCAGACAAAUCCCUGGCCAUGGUCAUUCGGAUUGAGAGAGAAAGAGUUAUCGGGAAGAAUCCAAUUAGAGCAAGACUCGAGUAGAAACUAUAUGGGUCUGAUAGUACCAUGCCCGAUAUACGAUCUCUAGAAUAUUAUCUCAGUUGAGAAAUAUCACAUACUCAUUUGUAGAGUAUCGUCGCCCCCAAGAUUUCUUAACAUGUUUAAGCUUUGGAGGUGAACCAUCUAUGUUGACAGGUUACACAGAUGUAGAUAUGGCAAGAGAUAUAGAUACGAGGAAGUCCACAUUAGGAUAUGUACUUACUUUUGCAAGAGGAGAUGUGUCAUGACAAUCCAUAUUACAAAGGCGUAUUGCUCUCUCCAUCAUAGAGACAGAAUAUAUUGCUGCUACAGAGGUUUACAAAGAAAUAUUAUGGAUAAAAGAAUUCUUACAAGAAUUGGGACUUAAACAGGAAACUAUAUAGUGCAUUGUGAUAGUCGGAGUGCUAUCCAUUUGUGUAAGAACCCAAUGUUUCAUUCCAAGUCAAAGCAUAUAGAUAUCAGAUACCACUGGAUUUGAAAUGUAUUGAAGAGAAAUAGUUGCAGUUUUAGAAAAUUCACACAGAUGACAACGAAGCAGACAUGCUAGACAAAGAAUUUACUAAAAGAAAGACAGGAGAUAUACUGAUAGCUGGUCGGCAUGGCUUCACAUUGAGGAGUCAUAGGACAACCCUCCUUAUGGGCUGAAGGGGGAUGUUGUUGGGCUGACAGCCCAUAUUCAGCCCAAUGUGAGCUUUAUCAGCCCACAACUCAUCCCCUCUCAACAUAACCCUAAUUUAUAUUAGAGAGGGUGUGAUGGCUCUAAAAAGAGGCAGAAAAAAGCAGUAGCAAGGUAGUUUUUGGCAGUCACAGGAUUCCAAAGAAAAGGAGGAGAACAAGGCAGAAAAGGAAGAAGACAAGGAUAACACAAAGAGAUUGUUCUCAAUCAUCUAGCAGUGCUUUUAUCUUAUGUUAGAUCAGAUCUACAGUAAAUUUUUACUGUGAUUACUUGGGAAGAAUUAUGGAGAAUUUAGAUAUUGUGCACAGUGAUAUGAUCUUUGUAUUCCAAUUAUUCUUUUGUGAUUGUUGCUGGAGUUUUGGACAAAAGAUUGAGAUUUGUAUAUUCAUUAUUAUUAUUAUGGAUUAUCUUUAAUUUGUCCUAUAGUUUUUAUCCUUCAUACAUAAAAAUUAUUUUUCAUAUAUAUUUUAGUGUUCUAUUUUAUUGUGAUUCCAUUUAAUUCCACUGCAUGUUAUAUUAUGCUAAUAUUUAUUUAUACACAAGUUAUUUCGACACCUAUAUAAGAGGUACUACGAGUGCUUUCAACUAAAGCUAAUAAUUAUGAGUUCUUUCAACUAAAGCUAAUAAUUAUAGGAGCUUAGCCGAAAGCUGAAACGCCAAAGGGUUUUAAAAGCUAUAGGACAUUUAUUGCUUUGGUUAACAUUAUCUUUGUAUGUGGUGGACUUCAGAGAGAUGCUUCUUAAUCAUUAAUUGUUCGGGAAAUGAGUAAUGUGGUCGGUGUAGUGCUGCUACCGAUGAGUCACAAUGUUCAUCUAUGAACAUUUCAGGAAAGCUCCGGCAAGCCGUGCGACGUGCAAACCUGUUGAUCUAUGUACGACUUCCACGUAGAACAACAUGAGCAACAAGAGAUAGGUUGUAGAUCGCCAUGCAUGUACAACUGUUCCUUCAAGGCAGGUGGAGGGAGGAUGGUUGCAGUCAUGCUAAUUAUGGACAAACUUCAUCGUCUCUUCGGUGAAGGCCGGUAGAUGUUCCUUUUGAACACAUCGUGUCAGCAACCUCACGCCCUGCUUCGGCAUGGACGGCUGCAGGUAGAUGCAGGAAGCGAUGAAGUUGCUGUCGUCAUUCAACG